CUGGCGGCGUGCCUAACACAUGCAAGUCGAACGGACGAGGGGAGCUUGCUCCCCAAGUUAGUGGCGGACGGGUGAGUAACACGUGAGCAACCUGCCCUUCGGAGGGGGACAACAGCGGGAAACUGCUGCUAAUACCGCAUAACGUAUUCUGGAGGCAUCUCCGGGAUACCAAAGAUUUUAUCGCCGAAGGAUGGGCUCGCGUCUGAUUAGAUAGUUGGCGGGGCAACGGCCCACCAAGUCUACGAUCAGUAGCCGGACUGAGAGGUUGAACGGCCACAUUGGGACUGAGAUACGGCCCAGACUCCUACGGGAGGCAGCAGUGGGGAAUAUUGGGCAAUGGGGGGCAACCCUGACCCAGCAACGCCGCGUGGAGGAAGAAGGCUUUCGGGUUGUAAACUCCUUUGACGAGGGACGAUAGUGACGGUACCUCGAAAACAAGCCACGGCUAACUACGUGCCAGCCGCUGC
This 467-nucleotide ribosomal RNA is filed under the name uncultured bacterium. RNAcentral's name for it is "bacterial SSU rRNA". It matches the Rfam family "Bacterial small subunit ribosomal RNA", at positions 36 to 518 of the family's 1533-position model. The record is from RNAcentral.